UACGUAGGUGGCAAGCGUUGUUCGGAAUUAUUGGGCGUAAAGGGCGCGUAGGCGGUUUGCUAAGUCAGUUGUGAAAGCCCGGGGCUCAACUUCGAGCUGUCGGUGGAAACUUUCUGGCUAGAGUCCGGAAGAGGAGAAUGGAAUUCCUGGUGUAGCGGUGAAAUGCGCAGAUAUCAGGAAGAACACCCGUGGCGAAGGCGGUUCUCUGGGACGGUACUGACGCUGAGACGCGAAAGCGUGGGGAGCGAACAGG
Molecule: ribosomal RNA, 253 nt
Filed under: uncultured bacterium
Lineage: Bacteria
Description: partial 16S ribosomal RNA
Rfam family: Bacterial small subunit ribosomal RNA
Source: RNAcentral